RNAcentral lists this ribosomal RNA (213 nucleotides) under Cronobacter sakazakii. Its description in RNAcentral is "partial 23S ribosomal RNA". It matches the Rfam family "Bacterial large subunit ribosomal RNA", at positions 2110 to 2322 of the family's 2925-position model. The record is from RNAcentral. Lineage: Bacteria; Pseudomonadati; Pseudomonadota; Gammaproteobacteria; Enterobacterales; Enterobacteriaceae.
UUUGGCGCUGAACAUUGAGCCUUGAUGUGUAGGAUAGGUGGGAGGCUUUGAAGCGUGGACGCCAGUCUGCGUGGAGCCGACCUUGAAAUACCACCCUUUAAUGUUUGAUGUUCUAACCUGGCGCCGUAAUCCGGCGUGGGGACAGUGUCUGGUGGGUAGUUUGACUGGGGCGGUCUCCUCCCAAAGUGUAACGGAGGAGCACGAAGGUCAGCU